GGCGAACGCUGGCGGCGUGCCUAAUACAUGCAAGUCGAACGCUUCUUUCCUCCCGAGUGCUUGCGCUCGAUUGGCGAGCGGAGUGGCGGACGGGUGGGUAACACGUCGUUAACCUACGCAUCAGUGAGGGAUAACACUUGGAAACAGGUUCUAAUACCGCAUAGCAGUGUAUGCCGCAUGGCAUAAGAGUGGAAGGCGCUUUCGGGUGUCGCUGAUGGCUGGACCCGGGGUGCAUCAGCUAGUUGGUGAGGUAACGGCUCACUAGGGCGGCGAUGCAUAGCCGAAGUGAUAGGGUGAUCGGCCACACUGGGAGUGAGACACGGCCAAGACGCCUACGGGAGGCAGCAGUAGGGAAUGGUAGGCAAUGGAGGAAAGUCUGACAGAGCAGCGCCGAGUGAGUGAAGAAGGCGUUCGGAUCGUAAAACCGUGUUGUUGGAGAAGAACAAGUAUGUUAGUAACUGAACGGUGCGUGACGGUAACUAAUCAGGAAGCAACGGCUAACUACGUG
Molecule: ribosomal RNA, 508 nt
Filed under: uncultured bacterium
Lineage: Bacteria
Description: partial 16S ribosomal RNA
Rfam family: Bacterial small subunit ribosomal RNA
Source: RNAcentral